Non-coding RNA from Stegodyphus mimosarum, 73 nucleotides. NCBI's taxonomy places the organism in Eukaryota, Metazoa, Arthropoda, Arachnida, Araneae, Eresidae. The record is from Rfam.
GUCUUCGUGGUGUAGUGGUCAGCUCGCUCGGCGCGUAUUCGAGAGGUCCGAGGUUUGAAUCCCGGCGAUGGCA